Molecule: ribosomal RNA, 497 nt
Filed under: uncultured bacterium
Lineage: Bacteria
Description: partial 16S ribosomal RNA
Rfam family: Bacterial small subunit ribosomal RNA
Source: RNAcentral
GAUGAACGCUGGCGGCGUGCCUAAUACAUGCAAGUCGAGCGAACAGACGAGGAUCUUGCUCCUCUGACGUUAGCGGCGGACGGGUGAGUAACACGUGGAUAACCUCCCUAUAAGACUGGGAUAACUUCGGGAAACCGGAGCUAAUACCGGAUAAUAUAUUGAACCGCAUGGUUCAAUAGUGAAAGACGGUUUUGCUGUCACUUAUAGAUGGAUCCGCGCCGCAUUAGCUAGUUGGUAAGGUAACGGCUUACCAAGGCGACGAUGCGUAGCCGACCUGAGAGGGUGAUAGGCCACACUGGAACUGAGACACGGUCCAGACUCCUACGGGAGGCAGCAGUAGGGAAUCUUCCGCAGUGGGCGAAAGCUUGACGGAGCAACGCCGCGUGAGUGAUGAAGGUCUUCGGAUCGUAAAACUCUGUUAUUAGGGAAGAACAAAUGUGUAAGUAACUAUGCACGUAUUGACGGUACCUAAUCAGAAAGCCACGGCUAACUACGUG